Triticum urartu is the source of this 1235-nucleotide non-coding RNA. The record is from RefSeq and is a predicted model, not a curated record. Lineage: Eukaryota; Viridiplantae; Streptophyta; Magnoliopsida; Poales; Poaceae.
GGGCAUCUAAAAUUGCAGCUUUCUUGUGUGGCGAUUAGUCUAUAUCAUCCUUAUUUGUUUACAAAGCCAUGCAAUUUAGUUAUCUAUUUAUCUGUUACAAUCAAUUGGCUCAUUUACCAAUCUUCUCAUGGCGCUUUAUUCAAUCAUGUGUGCGUGCGUGUGCGCGUGCGCGCAUGUGUGUGUGUAGGAUGUUAAUCGGUACCUUGGUUUUGAGUUUCAAAGUUGAAGCGAUUAUUAUGCCCAAUCCCAAAUGAACAUUAUUGUUUCUCUGAACUUGAUCUUCUCAAAUGGACACGUCAGGUCAUCUCUCCUUACUAAAGGGUUUACGAAAAUCUCUGCCUUAUAGGGCCGGUUCAUAUUGGCAUGGAGGAGGCACAGAGGUUUAUUUGGCUGGCCUUGAGGGGGAGACCAAAGCAAAACUUCAACAUGUUCAAGUUACGGAGAUCCAUGAGUUUCAUAGAACAUAUAAACGCUGGUGGGCAACCCGCCGUGCUGGGGACCUUCGCGCGCGCACGAUCACUGGCCGUUCGAUUAGCUUCUUCGAUCGUUUUUCACCCUCAAUUUUUACUAUUCACUUCUAUCUUUUGUUACAACUUUGACUGCUUUACCGGGUGGCUGCCAUUGGGUCCAUAAAAUCAUUGGUCCACGCAGCAGCGGAGUGCUCAUCAACUCGGUCUGUGACAAGCAGCAGCAGCAGCAUCAUGGUUGGGUUGGAGCUACAUCGGCCAGCCACCAGGACGACGCUGAUAGCCAAAGAAAGCUCAUUCCCCACCGCUGACAGCCAAAACCGCUCUUGUGCUCAUCAAGGUUAAUCAAUGUAUAGGACUGCACUUUUGUGUGUCCUUUCCUUCAAGCUGUCAUUCAAUAGAAGAGAGGAGCGAGGCCUCGAUCCAAACUCAGGAGGAGACGAGGAGCAACACCUAUUUUUAUUGUCCGUCAAGCGCUAUUAUACUUUGCGGUUCCAGCCACCUGAUCACUAACCUGAAUGAGUAAGUAGACCAUUUUAUAUGAUGGUCUUGCUUCCUUUUGUGAUCAUGUAUCUAUGUUAGAUCCGGUGAAAAAAGGCGGCUUCCAAGCAGAGGAUGCGGCAGUGUUGGCCACGUUUGGUUUUCAUAAGCUAAUAAUGUAUCCCUUCCUAUCUACUUCCUACGUGUACCACAUUGUAACUAAGCAUCUAUGUACCAGUAGUAAAGACUUGAGUGUCUGAAUAUUCUCACAAUAGUUGUCUCCCUCUC